GGCUAUCUCUGCGCAAUUUCGCUAAUAGCGAAAUUCUGAAAAUCUUCUUCUGCUCCAAUGAGAUGGCUCCAUGUGGCCCUUAUCCACUUGAGUUUCACUGUAACUUCGCCAAUGGUGAAACCUCUCUGUGAGUUUUUUGCUAUCAGCGAAAUAUUCGCUAAUAGCGAAUUUCUUCAAAACAACUUCAAUGAAAUCGCCAACGGUUCGCCAAUGGCUAAGUCUCCCUAGAACAUUUUCGCUAUUAGCGAAAUUCUUGUGAACUUUGGCAUUUCUUUAUCCUGGCUUGUAUUUUC
RNAcentral lists this long non-coding RNA (293 nucleotides) under Medicago truncatula (barrel medic). RNAcentral describes it as "long non-coding RNA (MTRU_LNC003562)". The record is from RNAcentral. Lineage: Eukaryota; Viridiplantae; Streptophyta; Magnoliopsida; Fabales; Fabaceae.